GUACCGGUAUGUAGCGGUAUUUGAAGGUAAAACCGGUACCGAACCGAUAUGGAAAACUUAGACCAUCGAUUGGACAAAUCUUACUAGAGAUGGCGAGCAGGAUUGAGCUUUGUACCAACCAAUACCAAAAAUCCAAAAAAAACGGGUAUUGGUAAUGAAAAUACCCGGUAUUGACUGAUAUUUGAAGGUAAAAACCGGUACAUGAAACACUAAAUUUCAGUACCGAAUCGGUACCAAAAAUCGAGUCAGUUUGAGAAAUUUGAUACCAGUACCAUUUAUUCAUCUCUAAUGAGGAGAACAUCCAUUAUUUUUGUGUUCAAAAGUUAACAAAUAAAAGAAUUUUAUUCAUAAAUAAUUUUAUGAUAAAGAUAGCCUUGCAUACAUGAUGCGCACACAUAACAUAUAGGCCUAUGCGAUCAAAACACACUGGGGCGCCACACUCUUUUUUAACACCAAGAUCUUAGUCAUGGAGAAUUAGAAUAGUUGAUGAUAACUAAUGGACAUCUUAAUAGGUGAUUUCGUUUCCCCUAUUCUUUAGUGUGUUAUUUUCAUUAUUAGUUCUCGAUGCUGAUGUUGGCACAAAUGAUAGUAUUUUAAACUAUUUCAAAUUUGGUUCCAAUCUAGGGUAAGUUCUAACGUAAAAGUACAUAGCUAUACAAAAUAUAUUUAUGUAGAAGUCAUGUUCGCAUUGUUUCUUGGUUAUGCUCCCAAGUACGUUUAACGAGUCAAACUAGGAGGCUGACCAGAAUCAUUAUUUCUUCAAAUUUCUUCUAAACAAAAAACUAAGAUAAUAUGCUUACAGAGAUUUUAUGAUUUUGAUAACAAUCUGAUUUUUUUAAGUAACUUGAUUUUAACCAUUGGGGUUGCUGGCCCAAUGGGAGAAGCAAAACUUUUAGGACCACCUAAAUUGGGGAGGUCAUGGGUUCAAGUCCUACAAGGAGUAAAUAGAAAAUUCGCCGUUCAAAAAAAAAGAGUAACAUGAUUUUAGGUCUUGUGCGUUAAUAAUACAUAUAGAUCAAUUUUUUACCCCCCCUCCUUUUAUCACUUAUCGGUUUGUGGUAAUCUUAUGUAAUUUUGUUCCUUUCAGUCAAGGGGUACUGCUAUCACUGUUGCAGCAAUUGGCAUGUGAUAUUGGGAAUGAUACAUCUAAGAAACUUGGUUGGAUGAUGGAUCUGGUGGUGGUGAUUAAACCAACUGAUGGGAUCAUCACAAUGUAUAUAAGGCCGAUAUUUGAACAAGUGUACUCGAUCAGAUGAUUGUUCCCACAACUUUAGUUGCUGAGCUUUCCAGUAUUCGUGUGGUCACGAAACUCAUAAACUCGACGUUAAGGAGCAUGUAAUAACGGCCCGAAAGCAUUAUCUUCCCAAACUAAUUUUAUUCGUAGGGAUUGGUGGUUAUUCAUUCUUUUGGGCAAUAUGCUAAAAGAAAGUAUGUUUCCAGUAAUAUGUUGCUAAUAAACUUAGGAUAAGUAGUGACUUGGAAAGUAUAAAUUUCGCUACGGAACAAGAGUUUUAGGUGAUAAGAGGCAGAGUAAGGAAUAUGUUAUUUAAAAGCAAUGAGAUUAUGAGAUCGAAAGAACUCAAACAAGGCUUUUAUAGUUGAGUUCAACUGUAAAUAACUAUUUUUAGUUAGUUAAUUGUUGCCACAUUUGUGAA
Molecule: long non-coding RNA, 1655 nt
Organism: Helianthus annuus (common sunflower)
Lineage: Eukaryota; Viridiplantae; Streptophyta; Magnoliopsida; Asterales; Asteraceae
Exons: 2
Source: RefSeq, a predicted model, not a curated record